GCAAGUCGAGCGGCCCUUCGGGGCAGCGGCAGACGUCUGAGUAACACGUUGGUAUCUGCCCCACACUCGGGGAUAACCCACCGAAAGGUGGGCUAAUACCCGAUAGUCUCUACGGAGUAAAGAUUUAUCGGUGUGGGAGGAACCUGCGGCCUAUCAGCUUGUUGGUGGGGUAACGGCCUACCAAGGCAAUGACGGGUAGCUGAUGUGAGAGCAUGAUC
RNAcentral lists this ribosomal RNA (218 nucleotides) under uncultured bacterium. Its description in RNAcentral is "partial 16S ribosomal RNA". It matches the Rfam family "Bacterial small subunit ribosomal RNA", at positions 57 to 305 of the family's 1533-position model. The record is from RNAcentral.